AGAGUGAUGACUUGUGGAAACAU
This 23-nucleotide small nuclear RNA is filed under the name Arabidopsis thaliana (thale cress). RNAcentral describes it as "snRNA_08599". Lineage: Eukaryota; Viridiplantae; Streptophyta; Magnoliopsida; Brassicales; Brassicaceae. The record is from RNAcentral.